GCCUACGGCCACACCCCGUUGAACACACCGGUUCUCGUCCGAUCACCGAAGUUAACCAACGUCGGGCCUGGUUAGUACUUGGAUGGGUGACUGCCUGGGAACACCGGGUGCUGUAGGCA
This 119-nucleotide ribosomal RNA is filed under the name Pomacea canaliculata. Lineage: Eukaryota; Metazoa; Mollusca; Gastropoda; Architaenioglossa; Ampullariidae. The record is from RNAcentral.